GAUGAACGCUGGCGGCGUGCUUAACACAUGCAAGUCGAACGAUGAAGCUCAGCUUGCUGGGUGGAUUAGUGGCGAACGGGUGAGUAACACGUGAGUAACCUGCCCUUAACUCUGGGAUAAGCCUGGGAAACUAGGUCUAAUACCGGAUAGGAGCGGCUACCGCAUGGUGGGUGUUGGAAAGAUUUAUCGGUUUUGGAUGGACUCGCGGCCUAUCAGCUUGUUGGUGAGGUAAUGGCUCACCAAGGCGACGACGGGUAGCCGGCCUGAGAGGGUGACCGGCCACACUGGGACUGAGACACGGCCCAGACUCCUACGGGAGGCAGCAGUGGGGAAUAUUGCACAAUGGGCGAAAGCCUGAUGCAGCGACGCCGCGUGAGGGAUGACGGCCUUCGGGUUGUAAACCUCUUUCAGUAGGGAAGAAGCGAAAGUGACGGUACCUGCAGAAGAAGCACCGGCUAACUACGUG
This 466-nucleotide ribosomal RNA is filed under the name uncultured bacterium. Its description in RNAcentral is "partial 16S ribosomal RNA". It matches the Rfam family "Bacterial small subunit ribosomal RNA", at positions 28 to 507 of the family's 1533-position model. The record is from RNAcentral.